GACGAACGCUGGCGGCGUGCUUAACACAUGCAAGUCGAACGGUGAAGCGCCUUCCUUUUUGGUGGGUGUGGAUGAGUGGCGAACGGGUGAGUAACACGUGAGUAACCUGCCCCCUUCUUCUGGAUAACCGCAUGAAAGUGUGGCUAAUACGGGAUAUUCUGGGUCUGUCGCAUGAUGGGUCUGGGAAAGAUAUUGUUUCGGUGGGGGAUGGGCUCGCGGCCUAUCAGCUUGUUGGUGGGGUGAUGGCCUACCAAGGCGGUGACGGGUAGCCGGCCUGAGAGGGUGGACGGUCACACUGGGACUGAGACACGGCCCAGACUCCUACGGGAGGCAGCAGUGGGGAAUAUUGCACAAUGGGCGCAAGCCUGAUGCAGCGACGCCGCGUGAGGGAUGGAGGCCGUCGGGUUGUGAACCUCUUUCGCCAGUGAAGCAGGCCUGCCUCGUUUGUGGGUGGGUUGACGGUAGCUGGAUAAGAAGCGCCGGCUAACUACGUG
Molecule: ribosomal RNA, 494 nt
Filed under: uncultured bacterium
Lineage: Bacteria
Description: partial 16S ribosomal RNA
Rfam family: Bacterial small subunit ribosomal RNA
Source: RNAcentral